RNAcentral lists this ribosomal RNA (459 nucleotides) under uncultured bacterium. RNAcentral's name for it is "partial 16S ribosomal RNA". It matches the Rfam family "Bacterial small subunit ribosomal RNA", at positions 338 to 795 of the family's 1533-position model. The record is from RNAcentral.
CCUACGGGUGGCAGCAGUGAGGAAUAUUGGUCAAUGGGCGCUAGCCUGAACCAGCCAAGUAGCGUGAAGGAUGACUGCCCUAUGGGUUGUAAACUUCUUUUAUAUGGGAAUAAAGUGCAGUAUGUAUACUGCUUUGCAUGUACCUUAUGAAUAAGGAUCGGCUAACUCCGUGCCAGCAGCCGCGGUAAUACGGAGGAUCCGAGCGUUAUCCGGAUUUAUUGGGUUUAAAGGGUGCGUAGGCGGAAUGCCAAGUCAGCGGUAAAAUCGCGGGGCUCAACCUCGCUCCGCCGUUGAAACUGGCGUUCUUGAGUGGGCGAGAAGUAUGCGGAAUGCGUGGUGUAGCGGUGAAAUGCAUAGAUAUCACGCAGAACUCCGAUUGCGAAGGCAGCAUACCGGCGCCCAACUGACGCUGAAGCACGAAAGCGUGGGUAUCGAACAGGAUUAGAUACCCCUGUAGUC